This 75-nucleotide transfer RNA is filed under the name Thauera sp. RNAcentral describes it as "tRNA-Thr". It matches the Rfam family "tRNA". From Rfam's summary of the family: Transfer RNA (tRNA) molecules are approximately 80 nucleotides in length. Their secondary structure includes four short double-helical elements and three loops (D, anti-codon, and T loops). The record is from RNAcentral. Lineage: Bacteria; Pseudomonadati; Pseudomonadota; Betaproteobacteria; Rhodocyclales; Zoogloeaceae.
GCCCCCGUAGGCCAAUAGCAAGGUCACCUGCUUUGUGUUCAGGAGGUGCGGGUUCGAUUCCUGCCGGGGGCACCA